This is a long non-coding RNA of Odocoileus virginianus texanus, 2250 nucleotides long. RefSeq lists it as uncharacterized. NCBI's taxonomy places the organism in Eukaryota, Metazoa, Chordata, Mammalia, Artiodactyla, Cervidae. The record is from RefSeq and is a predicted model, not a curated record.
CAGACACUCACUCGUGACUCGGCGGCCAUUCUGAAAACGGAAUCAUUGUCAAGCCCAGCCGAUUACUGGAGGAAGUCACCCCUGAUGGCAGCGGAAGCUAAACUAGGGGCUGACUGACAAGUGUCAGCGUUCAGCUCACAGCUUAACACAAGCUGCCGGCUGUGAAACAAGGAGAGAUGUGCUGAUGAUAAAACUUUCAGAGCUGGUCUCAAGGAAAACAGGCGGAGCAAGGAACAGAGCCUCCAAAAGGUGUUUCCUCAACCUCAACCCGGUGAUGGGAGGAAGAAGGGAAACUCGAGCCAAAGGCUCAACAGGGUCAUCACAGCUGCCCCCUGGAAAUGCGCGAGGGCCCUGCGCGGGUCUGAGCACCACUCUGAGUUGGGGGAGAGGCAGAGGGCUGUUCUCACAGCUGACACGCCCCUGCUGUUGUCAUAGCAGCGACACACGUGUCACAGAAAACCAGGCAGCUACUUUGCAAGUUGUAAACAGAACAGAAACUGCAAAAGCAUAAAUGUGAUAACCUUCCUACAGGAAAGUCUCAUCGUGUGGGGGGUCAGAAUGACAGCAAUAGAAAGGCCUCACUUGGAUCAUCUCCUGCGCAGCAAGAACACAUUGGCAAUACUCACUGCCACCGUAUAAAAGGGAAACAUGCUUUGAGGAGCGAUGUUCCUGCCUUGAAGAGAUUUUUGCAUGCUGAAAUGGUGCAAGCUCCGCAAAGGCCAUUCAGACCCAAACAGGGCUCACAUGUAGGGGUUCUGCAGUGGGUGAAGGCUGCCAACAGGUCACCAGGAAAAGGCUGGACUGCCCCAGGAGUGAUGGAUAGAGCGAGAUACCUGAUCCUGCAGACUGGAGCUCCAAAAUAUCUGACAGUGAGAUGCUGAAUCUUUUUUUGAUUGUUUUUGUUUUUUGUAAAACUGAUCUUGAGGGCACAUGCUGAGACAGUUGAAGCUCUUCAUGCAGGUGAUAGGUCCUAUACACAUGAAAAUAUCUUUUGUGGCUCACCGUAGCCCUGUAUGUGGAGAGCAGCCCACAGAAUUCAGAGCACAUGGACACAAGAAGAUACCUGGGCCCAGAGUGGACAAAUGACCUCACCCUCAGCAUCUUCUAAAGACUCCCUUUACCAGUAGAAACAAUUAUUCCUCCUAAAGCUAUGGGUCCUUUACAGUGGUUAUUAACAUUUGAUGGGAAUUCAACCCUAACCAAGAUUCUGGGGACAGAUCAUCAAAACUGAAGUGGCUGCUAGAAGCCAAGUUUGUGCUAGUUUCUUGUAUUUCCUCCAGCCCCUAAAACUUUAAAGGAACAGUCCCCGCCAUGGAAAAAUCCUUUUCCCAGCAUGAAAGGGUUGGGCAGCAGAGAUGUUUCAGUCACCGAAAGGAAGAAUAAGCCUGCUUCUUAAUAGGUCCAUAAUUACUCCACACAUUCGACUCUUAGGUCCAGAAAUAUAUUUGUGUUGACAAUCUGCAUCUGAUCCUCCAAAAACAAUGUCAUGGUUUUAUUUGCCUCCCCACCCCAGAAACAUCACCACUUUCCAAUAUCCACCCAAGCGCUACAGUUUCACUACAGCUUCCUGAGACCCUGCCUGGGGCGACAAGGGAGGGGAAUCAGAAUGCCUCCAGGUGAGAAAAGUGGGGCUUGUGCGAGAGCUGUACUCCUUUGAAGGGACAAGACAAUCAGAUGGCCAAUCAAAUCCUGGUCUGACUCCCUCCCAGUUCCCACGACAGCUUCCAGCCCUGGGCUGCAUGGAUUUGAGAUCAUUCUACCACCCCACAUCUACAGCAGUGCAUCACUGCAUCCCUCCUCAAGCACUAGUACGGGCCCACAUUGGCAAGCUUUGGGUUCACAGCAUCAGUGCACAUAGGUGAUGUGUUAGGUAGGACCCCACCCCAGCUUGCCUCAUCAGCUCCUAGGAGAUAAAAUCCCAGUGAGAAGAAGGAUCAUUAGGGGGAAGAAAACAAAAGGCAAUGCCAGACACAAGAAUAAGGUGUCAUUAGUAUCAACUUUUACAUUGGGUGCUCCUAGGCUUGAUUUAUGACUGCCACCAAUAGGUGAGUCAAGGGUCUCGCACAGCCCCUGUUCUUUCCCCCUUACAAAGGAAGAGAAGGUGAGAGAGGAAAAGGGGUCCUUGGAAUGACCUUGGCCCAGGUCUGAGCUACAAACCUUCAGUCUAAGCUCCAAUUUCCCUACAAGACCUUAGACCCAGCAACCUUGCAUAAAAGUCACUGUGGAAUAAAGCGAUGUUUUCUAAAUAUU